CCCAGGUCAGGCGGGAUUACCCG
Molecule: small nuclear RNA, 23 nt
Filed under: Arabidopsis thaliana (thale cress)
Lineage: Eukaryota; Viridiplantae; Streptophyta; Magnoliopsida; Brassicales; Brassicaceae
Description: snRNA_12407
Source: RNAcentral